GUAACCCCGGGUUGAGAUUGAAGGUUGAAGUUCCAUUCGGCCUACGUAGCCACAUUUCGAGAUCAAUGUGUACUGUUCAAGGAAGAUGCAGGUGAUCUCUUGAACUUGAAUUGUCAAGUCUGUUGGGAUCUGAGUGGUGAUAGACCUGCGAAGUGAGACCAGAGAUGCCAUUAAAAAAACUCUAUAUGGAACAUGUUCAGAAGAAGGCCUAGAGUGAACUUAAGGUUCUACCAUGCUUGAUCUUUCCUGCUGGGGCAAUCGGCUGAGACGAGCUUGUUUGGAAGCACGAUCCUCUGGUCGGGAUCCUGCUCGGCUCCAUCUGAAUCGCUCCCAGGAUUUUGCAUUCCAGUCAGAGACUUCAUGUUCAUGGAGUGAAAUAAAUGCAAGAGAAGCAAGUAUGUGGCUGUGGAUGGGAGCAGCCAUUAAAGAGGGUCCAUGGAAAUGGUGGUUCAUUUGUUGUACCAAAAUGAGAGACACUGGUGGGAGAUUGGUAUUGUGCUCAUUUAUGAGGGAGAUGAGGAAUGUUGGGUAUGAGUAUGACUUGUAUCUUCAUCUACGUCUACUAUGAUUCAACCAAUGGAUGUGUGUGAAUUGGACGUUUAGAUGCCCAAUAUUUUGAAAUMUUC
This is an RNA transcript of Momordica charantia (bitter melon), 626 nucleotides long. It is a transcript of the gene named Ribosomal protein L23/L15e family protein, with no coding region annotated. The record is from RefSeq and is a predicted model, not a curated record. Lineage: Eukaryota; Viridiplantae; Streptophyta; Magnoliopsida; Cucurbitales; Cucurbitaceae.